This 1530-nucleotide ribosomal RNA is filed under the name Salmonella enterica subsp. enterica. RNAcentral's name for it is "bacterial SSU rRNA". It matches the Rfam family "Bacterial small subunit ribosomal RNA". Lineage: Bacteria; Pseudomonadati; Pseudomonadota; Gammaproteobacteria; Enterobacterales; Enterobacteriaceae. The record is from RNAcentral.
AGAGUUUGAUCAUGGCUCAGAUUGAACGCUGGCGGCAGGCCUAACACAUGCAAGUCGAACGGUAACAGGAAGCAGCUUGCUGCUUUGCUGACGAGUGGCGGACGGGUGAGUAAUGUCUGGGAAACUGCCUGAUGGAGGGGGAUAACUACUGGAAACGGUGGCUAAUACCGCAUAACGUCGCAAGACCAAAGAGGGGGACCUUCGGGCCUCUUGCCAUCAGAUGUGCCCAGAUGGGAUUAGCUAGUUGGUGAGGUAACGGCUCACCAAGGCGACGAUCCCUAGCUGGUCUGAGAGGAUGACCAGCCACACUGGAACUGAGACACGGUCCAGACUCCUACGGGAGGCAGCAGUGGGGAAUAUUGCACAAUGGGCGCAAGCCUGAUGCAGCCAUGCCGCGUGUAUGAAGAAGGCCUUCGGGUUGUAAAGUACUUUCAGCGGGGAGGAAGGUGUUGUGGUUAAUAACCACAGCAAUUGACGUUACCCGCAGAAGAAGCACCGGCUAACUCCGUGCCAGCAGCCGCGGUAAUACGGAGGGUGCAAGCGUUAAUCGGAAUUACUGGGCGUAAAGCGCACGCAGGCGGUCUGUCAAGUCGGAUGUGAAAUCCCCGGGCUCAACCUGGGAACUGCAUUCGAAACUGGCAGGCUUGAGUCUUGUAGAGGGGGGUAGAAUUCCAGGUGUAGCGGUGAAAUGCGUAGAGAUCUGGAGGAAUACCGGUGGCGAAGGCGGCCCCCUGGACAAAGACUGACGCUCAGGUGCGAAAGCGUGGGGAGCAAACAGGAUUAGAUACCCUGGUAGUCCACGCCGUAAACGAUGUCUACUUGGAGGUUGUGCCCUUGAGGCGUGGCUUCCGGAGCUAACGCGUUAAGUAGACCGCCUGGGGAGUACGGCCGCAAGGUUAAAACUCAAAUGAAUUGACGGGGGCCCGCACAAGCGGUGGAGCAUGUGGUUUAAUUCGAUGCAACGCGAAGAACCUUACCUGGUCUUGACAUCCACAGAACUUUCCAGAGAUGGACUGGUGCCUUCGGGAACUGUGAGACAGGUGCUGCAUGGCUGUCGUCAGCUCGUGUUGUGAAAUGUUGGGUUAAGUCCCGCAACGAGCGCAACCCUUAUCCUUUGUUGCCAGCGGUUAGGCCGGGAACUCAAAGGAGACUGCCAGUGAUAAACUGGAGGAAGGUGGGGAUGACGUCAAGUCAUCAUGGCCCUUACGACCAGGGCUACACACGUGCUACAAUGGCGCAUACAAAGAGAAGCGACCUCGCGAGAGCAAGCGGACCUCAUAAAGUGCGUCGUAGUCCGGAUUGGAGUCUGCAACUCGACUCCAUGAAGUCGGAAUCGCUAGUAAUCGUGGAUCAGAAUGCCACGGUGAAUACGUUCCCGGGCCUUGUACACACCGCCCGUCACACCAUGGGAGUGGGUUGCAAAAGAAGUAGGUAGCUUAACCUUCGGGAGGGCGCUUACCACUUUGUGAUUCAUGACUGGGGUGAAGUCGUAACAAGGUAACCGUAGGGGAACCUGCGGUUGGAUCACCU